AAGCACAAAUGACUUUAUUGUUUCCAAAAUUUGUACUUUCCCUGCUCAAAACAAUGUUGUUUCUUAACUAUACCUGUCUGCUAGACACCUGUAGCAGCCAGGGAUGCUUGGUCUCAAACAC
Molecule: small nucleolar RNA, 121 nt
Filed under: Nannospalax galili (Upper Galilee mountains blind mole rat)
Lineage: Eukaryota; Metazoa; Chordata; Mammalia; Rodentia; Spalacidae
Description: Small nucleolar RNA SNORA63 (ENSNGAG00000004723.1)
Source: RNAcentral